Molecule: ribosomal RNA, 497 nt
Filed under: uncultured bacterium
Lineage: Bacteria
Description: partial 16S ribosomal RNA
Rfam family: Bacterial small subunit ribosomal RNA
Source: RNAcentral
GAUGAACGCUGGCGGCGUGCCUAAUACAUGCAAGUCGAGCGAACAGACGAGGAGCUUGCUCCUCUGACGUUAGCGGCGGACGGGUGAGUAACACGUGGAUAACCUACCUAUAAGACUUGGAUAACUUCGGGAAACCGGAGCUAAUACCGGAUAAUAUAUUUAACCGCAUGGUUCAAUAGUGAAAUACGGUUUUGCUGUCACUUAUAGAUGGAUCCGCGCCGCAUUAGCUAGUUGGUAAGGUAACGGCUUACCAAGGCAACGAUGCGUAGCCGACCUGAGAGGGUGAUCGGCCACACUGGAACUGAGACACGGUCCAGACUCCUACGGGAGGCAGAAGUAGGGAAUCUUCCGCAAUGGGCGAAAGCUUGACGGAGCAACGCCGCGUGAGUGAUGAAGGUCUUCGGAUCGUAAAACUCUGUUAUUAGGGAAGAACAAAUGUGUAAGUAACUAUGCACGUCUUGACGGUACCUAAUCAGAAAGCCACGGCUAACUACGUG